CAAGACCUACGGGAGGCAGCAGUGGGGAAUAUUGCACAAUGGGCGCAAGCCUGAUGCAGCCAUGCCGCGUGUAUGAAGAAGGCCUUCGGGUUGUAAAGUACGUUCAGCGGGGAGGAAGGCGAUAAGGCUAAUAACCUUGUUGAUUGACGUUACCCGCAGAAGAAGCACCGGCUAACUCCGUGCCAGCAGCCGCGGUAAUACGGAGGGUGCAAGCGUUAAUCGGAAUUACUGGGCGUAAAGCGCACGCAGGCGGUCUGUCAAGUCGGAUGUGAAAUCCCCGAGCUCAACCUGGGAACUGCAUUCGAAACUGGCAGGCUGGAGUCUUGUAGAGGGGGGUAGAAUUCCAGGUGUAGCGGUGAAAUGCGUAGAGAUCUGGAGGAAUACCGGUGGCGAAGGCGGCCCCCUGGACAAAGACUGACGCUCAGUUGCGAAAGCGUGGGGAGCAAACAGGAUUAGAUACCCGCGUA
Molecule: ribosomal RNA, 467 nt
Filed under: uncultured bacterium
Lineage: Bacteria
Description: bacterial SSU rRNA
Rfam family: Bacterial small subunit ribosomal RNA
Source: RNAcentral